Molecule: long non-coding RNA, 1205 nt
Organism: Pipistrellus kuhlii (Kuhl's pipistrelle)
Lineage: Eukaryota; Metazoa; Chordata; Mammalia; Chiroptera; Vespertilionidae
Exons: 3
Source: RefSeq, a predicted model, not a curated record
AGAAAGGAAGUUGACAAACAGUUGCUGCUCUUAGGGCCUGUCAGAGGUUCUGGAGCAAAAAAACAAGAGCCUGUGUGUAGAAAGGCAGGUAGUCAAAAGGUUCCAAAAGUGUGGAUGGAUUGUUGAAGGAAGAAAAGCAGCAGCGAAUGUUCUCAAAGCGCUCGGGGAAUCUGGGGGAGACACAGGGGAUUACCACGCCCACGUGGGGAAGGCAGAUUAAAUGAGAAAAACACUGCUGGAUCCACUCUCUGAGGACCCCUCCCAGACCUUGGACCAAUCCCAGUCCAGGGCUCAGAUGUCCUCAUCACUUCCCUAAUGAUUAUUAUGCUGGUAACAAACGAUUACACCACCUGUGACUUGAAAGCCCUCCUCGGAUUAGAACAAAAACACCUGCCAGCCCUCAGGCUGACUCAAAGUGGGAGCCGUUUAUUUAUGAGGCCUGAGAGUAGUUAGAGCGCCUCCUACUGGUCCCGGUUCCACCCAGCAUUCCCUAAAGGGGGAGGAAGGCCCGUGUAACCCUUGCAAGCCCAGGUGUCAGCUCCAGGAAGGGGCACAGAUCCAGCCACCAGUUCAACCUUCACCUAAGCCUCAGCUACUGCCCUGGAUCUCUCCAAGAUCAUCCAGUAAAAUUACCAUUGCACUUAGCACCAGAUGAACAAAACACGGCUCUGGGCCUAUGAUGGACACAGAGAAGGGCUGCUCUAUAGUACUGUAGAGUGCACUCUGACGAAUGGGGUGGAAGAAAUUCGUUUCAAUCGGGGAAAUCUGGGAAGGCUUGCGGAGGAGGUGGCCGUUAUCCUGGAACCUGGCCCGUGGCUCUCUGGAAGGCAGGGACAGCAUCCCAGCAGGGGGAGUGGGUCACUGUGGUAAAGAUCUAAAGGGAGAUGUGCAGUGUAGUUCUCAGUGUGCUUCCUUGGGGAGUAAGAGAAGGGGGAGCAUGGGUGGAAAUGCAAUCGUCCUGGGGGAAGCUUGGGAUGUGGUGAUGAAGUUUCAACUUUUUCAACUAUGGGGAGUCCCUGAAGGGUUCUGAGCCAAAGGACGCUAUAGAAAGGGCAACCACUCCCCCUGGUGAGGUAGCUGCUGGUUGGAGCACUGUCCUGAUACACCAAGGUUUCAGGUUCUAUCCCUAGUCAGGGUACAUACAGGAAUCAACCAAUGGUUCAGUGGUGGAGUUUCGACCUAUAAACCAGGAAUUCAUGGUUUGA